UUGCGCUGUCCGUUACAGUUUAGGUCACUUUACCACAAAAUUAGACAAAAAAAGUUCACACAAAUGACACCAUAGGACAAACAGAAGUGUUAAAAAGUGUGCCACGACAUUACGAACUAUACUCCUCCUCCGUUCGACACUACAGGGAUGUUUCAUUGCUCAUGCUCCCACAAAGCUUUGCAGGAGACCAUACAAUGAAAUUUAGAACGUUUUUUUACGUUUCGGCGCCAUUUUCGAUUGGACUGGAGGAGCUCAUUCCAUGUAAAUCCACACUUUGUAUUUAUCUAUAUCAAGUUUCAAGCAGCACGGCCCUCGUUGCCCAAAGGGAGUGGAGAAGGACAAGCAUGCCGAGGCCUGUCUGAAGAUAAGUUUUGCACCGCACAAUCUCUAAUCUAUUGUCCCAUCAACGUACCGCAGGGGGCGCUAGGGACCCAGGUUAAUAUUGCGAGUGAACGCCAUUUCAAGUUGUAUGCUUUUAUUGAACAAUAAACUAAAUACUUUGA
This is a long non-coding RNA of Alosa sapidissima (American shad), 503 nucleotides long. RefSeq lists it as uncharacterized. The record is from RefSeq and is a predicted model, not a curated record. The transcript is spliced from 2 exons. Lineage: Eukaryota; Metazoa; Chordata; Actinopteri; Clupeiformes; Clupeidae.